AUGCCCAAGGCUCCUCUUGGGGUUCUCAGUUGUACCCAUAUGUGGUUCCCCACAGCCCCUGGAAAGGGUGACUCCCAAGUUCCAGCUCCUGGGAUCCAGGGUGCUGCGUGCAGGGGCUGGGAGAGGCCACCCUGGACUGGGCUCAGGCAUUGGGGUGGGGAGACUGGCAGACAGGCUGCCUCCCCCUUCCAGAGCCCAUGGGCUGCAAGAGGUGAUUCUGAGGCAACCUUUGACUCCUGCAGGGGGCAGGCUGUAGACCCAUCAUCAGCCCCAGAUCUGGAUGAAGCCAGGAGUGACCGAGACCCAAGGUGGAAGAGCCCUGCUACGCCUGCAGGGCCCACAUGCGGUUGCUUACAAGAGCUGAACCCCACCACCGGCAGUAGCUUUGGGGAUCUAGGAGGCUCUGAGUUCAAGGACUUGGCCCAGAGGGAAGAGAGGAGACAAGCAGCACCUACAACCCAGAGGCCAUCCACUAGCCUAUGGGGGAGGAAGCUCGCUCAGGGAGCCCCGAGGCCCUCAGGCCUGCCCUCCCAGGGCCUGUCAGAACCCCACGAUCCCCCCGAGGGGCUGAGCUGGAGCCUGGGCCAGGAGAGAGCAGAACUUCAGAAACUGCUGAGGCUAGGGAUUCCUCAGAGGCAGAGAGAGGAGGCUCCUCAAGAGCAGAAAGAGCGCCCCGGGGUUCAGAGGGGGGAGGUCCGCAGGGGGGAGAGCAAGGAAGUUCCUAAGAGACCCACAGAGAAGAUACAGCAGGGCCAGAGGGGGGAGGCUACUCAGGCUCUGAGGGAGGAAGUCUCUGUGGAUCCCAGGGGGCAGGCUCCCGAGGGUGAGAGGAGAGAGUCUCCUCAACGUCAAAGAGGAAACAGCCCUGAGGGGCAGAGAAAAGAGGUCCUCCGGGAGCCGAGGAAGGAGACUCCUCAGGGCCGGGAAGGGAAGAGCCCUCAAACUUCCCCAGCCUGCCUCUCACAAGCCUGGGAGGUGCCUCAGGGAGAGGCGCCUGCAGAGCCCCCGGCGGAAGGCGGCUCCCUGGGGAUUUCUGGGGAUUUCUGCAGGCCCCUGGGAGAACAGAUGCCGCAGCCUGGGGGAAGGGAGAGCCCUGGCUCCGGGGAAAGGACCACC
RNAcentral lists this long non-coding RNA (1116 nucleotides) under Ursus maritimus (polar bear). Its description in RNAcentral is "lncRNA (ENSUMAG00000006756.1)". The record is from RNAcentral. Lineage: Eukaryota; Metazoa; Chordata; Mammalia; Carnivora; Ursidae.